RNAcentral lists this ribosomal RNA (1030 nucleotides) under Acinetobacter sp. SI-Delhi-4B. RNAcentral describes it as "bacterial SSU rRNA". It matches the Rfam family "Bacterial small subunit ribosomal RNA", at positions 60 to 1082 of the family's 1533-position model. Lineage: Bacteria; Pseudomonadati; Pseudomonadota; Gammaproteobacteria; Moraxellales; Moraxellaceae. The record is from RNAcentral.
AGUCGAGCGGGGAAAGGUAGCUUGCUACUGGACCUAGCGGCGGACGGGUGAGUAAUACUUAGGAAUCUGCCUAUUAGUGGGGGACAACGUUCCGAAAGGAGCGCUAAUACCGCAUACGCCCUACGGGGGAAAGCAGGGGAUCACUUGUGACCUUGCGCUAAUAGAUGAGCCUAAGUCGGAUUAGCUAGUUGGUGGGGUAAAGGCCUACCAAGGCGACGAUCUGUAGCGGGUCUGAGAGGAUGAUCCGCCACACUGGGACUGAGACACGGCCCAGACUCCUACGGGAGGCAGCAGUGGGGAAUAUUGGACAAUGGGGGGAACCCUGAUCCAGCCAUGCCGCGUGUGUGAAGAAGGCCUUUUGGUUGUAAAGCACUUUAAGCGAGGAGGAGAGGCCCUAGGUUAAUACCCUAGGUGCUUGGACGUUACUCGCAGAAUAAGCACCGGCUAACUCUGUGCCAGCAGCCGCGGUAAUACAGAGGGUGCGAGCGUUAAUCGGAUUUACUGGGCGUAAAGCGUGCGUAGGCGGCCAUUUAAGUCGGAUGUGAAAUCCCCGAGCUCAACUUGGGAAUUGCAUUCGAUACUGGGUGGCUAGAGUAUAGGAGAGGAAGGUAGAAUUCCAGGUGUAGCGGUGAAAUGCGUAGAGAUCUGGAGGAAUACCGAUGGCGAAGGCAGCCUUCUGGCCUAAUACUGACGCUGAGGUACGAAAGCAUGGGGAGCAAACAGGAUUAGAUACCCUGGUAGUCCAUGCCGUAAACGAUGUCUACUAGCCGUUGGGGUCUUUGAGACCUUAGUGGCGCAGCUAACGCGAUAAGUAGACCGCCUGGGGAGUACGGUCGCAAGACUAAAACUCAAAUGAAUUGACGGGGGCCCGCACAAGCGGUGGAGCAUGUGGUUUAAUUCGAUGCAACGCGAAGAACCUUACCUGGCCUUGACAUACUAGAAACUUUCCAGAGAUGGAUUGGUGCCUUCGGGAAUCUAGAUACAGGUGCUGCAUGGCUGUCGUCAGCUCGUGUCGUGAGAUGUUGGGUUA